Molecule: unclassified non-coding RNA, 408 nt
Filed under: Hevea brasiliensis (rubber tree)
Lineage: Eukaryota; Viridiplantae; Streptophyta; Magnoliopsida; Malpighiales; Euphorbiaceae
Source: RNAcentral
CGACUGCAAAUGGAGUUAAGUAGGAAGGAAGAUGAGGAUUCUGAUGAUGCAGUGAAGGAUUUGAGAAGGGUAAUUGCAACAUUAGAGAAGGAGAACACCAACCUUAAGAUAGCCAAGAAUGAACUCGAGGCUGCCAUGGAAAUNNNNNNNAGGUUCACCUCAAAAAACCUUCCCAGAUGGGAAGGUAGGUUCUUCUGGAAAUUUUCUCAGUAGGGAAGAAAUGGAGCUGUUAUUGCAAAAACUGGAGAAAGAUUUAAACGACAUGCGCCGUGAAAGGGAUAAAGCAGUGCAAGAAUUGACUCGUCUUAAGCAGCAUUUAUUAGAAAAGGAAUCUGAAGAAUCAGAGAAAAUGGAUGAGGACUUUAAGAUCAUUGAAGAACUUCGUGAGAAUAAUGAAUAUCAAAAGGC